CAACACGGAAAGCUCACCCGGCCCGGACACGGACAGGAUUGACAGAUUGAGAGCUCUUUCUCGAUUCCGUGGGUGGUGGUGCAUGGCCGUUCUUAGUUGGUGGAGCGAUUUGUCUGGUUAAUUCCGAUAACGAACGAGACUCUGGCAUGCUAACUAGUUACGCGACCCCCGAGCGGUCGGCGUGCAACUUCUUAGAGGGACAAGUGGCGUUCAGCCACCCGAGAUUGAGCAAUAACAGGU
This 240-nucleotide ribosomal RNA is filed under the name Anser anser (Domestic goose). Its description in RNAcentral is "partial 18S ribosomal RNA". It matches the Rfam family "Eukaryotic small subunit ribosomal RNA", at positions 1201 to 1461 of the family's 1831-position model. Lineage: Eukaryota; Metazoa; Chordata; Aves; Anseriformes; Anatidae. The record is from RNAcentral.